UCCGGCUUGACGCCGGCAGUCCCCCGAGAGUCCUCAGCUUUACCUGUUAGUAACACGGGGCAAGGGUUGCGCUCGUUGCGGGACUUAAGGCAACACCUCACGGCACGAGCUGACGACAGCCAUGCAGCACCUGUGCAGGCUCCCGAAGGAGCACCGGCUUUCACCGGCUUCACCCUGCAUGUCAAGCCCUGGUAAGGUUCUGCGCGUUGCGUCGAAUUAAACCACAUGCUCCACCGCUUGUGCAGGCCCCCGUCAAUUUCUUUGAGUUUUAACCUUGCGGCCGUACUCCCCAGGCGGAUGACUUAACGCGUUAGCUGCGCCACCGAAACGCUAAGCGCCCCGACAGCUAGUCAUCAUCGUUUACAGCGUGGACUAC
This 376-nucleotide unclassified non-coding RNA is filed under the name uncultured bacterium. RNAcentral describes it as "contains 16S-23S intergenic spacer region". The record is from RNAcentral.